RNAcentral lists this ribosomal RNA (405 nucleotides) under uncultured bacterium. RNAcentral's name for it is "partial 16S ribosomal RNA". It matches the Rfam family "Bacterial small subunit ribosomal RNA", at positions 28 to 526 of the family's 1533-position model. The record is from RNAcentral.
GAUGAACGCUGGCGGCGUGCCUAAUACAUGCAAGUCGAGCGAAGCGGGGACGGGGGAGUAACACGUGGAAAACCCCCUAUACGCCUGGGAUAACCUCGGGAAACCGGAGGUAAACCGGAAACUUAUAGAUGGAUCAGCGCUGAAUUAGCUAGGUGGUAAGGUAACGGCUUACCAAGGCAACGAUGCAUAGCCGACCUGAGAGGGUGAGCGGCAACACGGGAACUGAGACACGGUCCAGACUCCUACGGGAGGCAGCAGUGGGGAAUCUUCCACAAUGGGCGAAAGCCUGACGGAGCAACGCCGCGUGAGUGAAGAAGGCCUUCGGAUCGUAAAGCUCUGUUAGUAGGGAAGCGGUACCUAAAGAGAAAGCCACGGCUAACUACGUGCCAGCAGCCGCGGUAAUAC